This 5931-nucleotide long non-coding RNA is filed under the name Hordeum vulgare. RNAcentral's name for it is "long non-coding RNA (HVUL_LNC000573)". The record is from RNAcentral. Lineage: Eukaryota; Viridiplantae; Streptophyta; Magnoliopsida; Poales; Poaceae.
GAGUAAUCACUUCAUCAAAUUAACAACCAUCCUAAUUUUGCAUUUUUUUCCUGAUGAUACAUCAUCCACGUAUUUCUCUUACAAUAGACAGUAUGUUGGUAGAAACUAGGGUUCUACCGGCCCUCUGCCUUAGGUUAUAAGGGUAGGAGGGAGGUUGGAGGAGACGAGGACGCUGCGGCCGCAGUGAGGAGGCGGCGGCCAGUAGAGGAGGCGGUGGCUAGAGUUAGGGUUCCGGCUCCUUUGGGAGCCGGGCAAUAGAAUUGUAGAGGAGCCGGGCAAUAGAAUUGUCUUAUUGCUUGAUUCCAAAAGGUGUCUUACAACUUGUUUAUAUAAGCUCUAAGGUAAUAGAAAUAAGGAAACUUGGGCUAANNNNNNNNNNNNNNNNNNNNNNNNNNNNNNNNNNNNNNNNNNNNNNNNNNNNNNNNNNNNNNNNNNNNNNNNNNNNNNNNNNNNNNNNNNNNNNNNNNNNNNNNNNNNNNNNNNNNNNNNNNNNNNNNNNNNNNNNNNNNNNNNNNNNNNNNNNNNNNNNNNNNNNNNNNNNNNNNNNNNNNNNNNNNNNNNNNNNNNNNNNNNNNNNNNNNNNNNNNNNNNNNNNNNNNNNNNNNNNNUAAGGAAACUUGGGCUAAGCCCCUAACUUAACUAAGAUAACUUGGGCUAAGCCCUUAACUAAACGGGCCCAUUGGACCUCCUCCGGCUAUAAGUCACGCCGGUCAUAACAUCUCUCCCCGCCUGCGCAAACAACUCGUCCUCGAGCUGGAAGUCUGGUAAAUGUUGGUGGAACUCGUCAAGCUGCUCCCAAGUGGCAUCCUCCUCCGGAAGACCUUGCCACUGGAUCAACAAGUGCCACACUCCGUGACGUAGCUGGAUCUGCAACACCUUUGCCAGUCCUGGAAGGAGUCGUCCGUCGGAGGUAGGAGGUAGCACCGGUGUUGCUGCCGGCGGUUCUCCAUGGAAGGGCUUCAGCAACCCCACAUGGAACACGUCAUGGAUGCGGGCCCUGGCCGGAAGCUGCAGGCAGUAGGCCACCUUGCCUAUGCGCUCCACCACAGAAAAUGUCCCUGCGUAGUGAGGGCCCAGCUUGCGCUUAGCGCGCGGGUCCAGGGACUGAGUGGAGCGGUGAAGGAGGCGUAGCCACACCCAGUCGCCCAUCGCAAACUCUGGGUCGCGGUGAUGAUCGUCGUAGUAGCGCUUGGACAGUUGCUGAGCCUGGAGAAGGCGUUGGCACACCUCUGCAAGCAUCUCGUCCCGGCUGCGAAGCAGGUCGCCCGCCGCCUCAGUCCGAGCUGUCUCAGGGUCAACCGGCAGGAUAGGCGGGGGCGGUGGGCCAUAGACCACCUCGAACGGCGUGGCGCGCAUGGCGGAGUGAUAAGAGGUGUUUUAGCAGUACUCCGCCCAUGCCAGCCAAUCCACCCAUGCACGGGGACGGUCACCUGUAACACAACACAAAUACAUGGUGAUCACCUUGUUCACCACCUCAGACUGGCCGUCCGUCUGAGGGUCGAAGGCCGUACUCAGGCGGAGCUUCACGCCCGUCAGGCGGAAGAGAUCACCCUAGACAUGCCCCGUGAACACCGGGUCUUGGUCGCUGACGAUCGAAGCCGGAAACCCGUGGAGACGGACAAUUCCGUUGAAGAAGGCACGAGCCACGGAUGCGGCCGUGUAGGAUGGCCGAGCGCGAUGAAGUGGGCGUACUUGGAGAAGCAGUCGACCACCGUGAGGAUAACGGACUUGCCGCCCACCUUUGGGAGGCCCUUGAUGAAGUCCAUGGAGAUAUCGGCCCAGACUUGAGAGGGCACCUCCAAGGGCUGCAGUAGCCCAGCCGGACGCAGUGUCUUCGUCUUGUUACGCUGGCACGUAACACAAGACCGCACUCAGUCCCGGACCAACGCCCGAUCACCGGGGAUGUAGAAAUCAGCGCGGAGACGGUGGAGGGUCUUCUGCACACCCUUGUGUCCGGCCGAGUGGGCCAGCAGCAGGACCUGGUGACGCAGAUCACCGUGAUCCGGCACAAAGAGGCGACACCCAUGUAGGAGCAACCCAUCCGCCCAGCGCCACGGCUCGGCCAGGUCGCCGGCUGCGAGGCGCUGCCGAAGAAGCUGAGCGUCCGGUGCGUCGGAGGUGGCCCGGCGGAUGUCGCGAAGGAGGGCCCCGAGCGGAUGCAGAGAGCCGCCCCGUCGGAGUCGCCGGUGUCCGAGUCGUGGUCGGCGUUGCGGCGGGGCAGGGCGUCGGCCACGGUGUUAAGGCGACCCGGACGAUACUCCACGGUGAAGUCGAAGCCAAAAAGCUUGCUGAUCCACUGGUGCUGGGGAAUGGUGGACAACCUUUGAUCCAAUAAGAAUUUGAGGCUGUAGUGAUCCAUGUGAAUCCGGAACGACCUCCCCCAAAGAUACGGGCGCCAGUGGCGUAUGGCCUGCACCAAGCCAAUGAGCUCCCUCUCAUAGGCCGCGAUCUUAUGAUGGCGUGCGGCAAAUGGUCUACUGAAGAACGCAAGCGGUCCGUCGCCCUGAUGAAGGACGACGCCGAACCCCACCCCGGAGGCGUCGCAGUCCACCAUGAAUGGCUGGUCGAAAUCGGGCAUCUGAAGGACGGGACCUGUCGUGAGGGCCUGCUUGAGGGCCUCGAACGCCUCCAUGGCCUCCGCAUCCCAGGUGAGGCGUCGCGUCGCAACAGGCGUGUGAGUGGGGACGCGAUGAGGCCGAACUCCUGGAUAAAUUUCCGAUAGUACCCCGCGAGGCCCAGGAAGCCGCGGAGAGCCCGUGGCAAGUGCGGUGUCGGCCAGGCCGCGAUCGCCUCCACCUUGUCGGCGUCCAUAGCCACACCCUCGACCGAGAUGACAUGGCCGAGGUAGGCGACUGAAGGCGUGCCGAACGAGCACUUCGAGCGCUUAAGAUGAAGAUGAUGCGCUCGAAGCUCGUUGAAGACGAUGGCGGCGUGCUGAAGGUGCUCUGCCCAAGAAGCGCUGUAGAUAAGAAUGUCAUCAAAGAAAACGAGCACAAACCGACGCAAGUAGGGUCGGAGGACGUCGUUCAUCAAGGCCUGGAAGGUUGCCGGAGCGCUGGAGAGGCCAAAAGGCAUCACCAAGAACUCAAAGUGGCCGUGAUGAGUCCGAAAUGCCGUCUUCGCGAUAUCGUCCGGAUGCAUCCGCACCUGGUGGUAGUCCGAACGGAGGUCGAGCUUGGUGAAGAAGCGCGCCCCAUGUAGCUCGUCCAAAAGUUCGUCAACGAUUCGGAUAGGAAAUUUGUCCUUGAGCGUUAGGGCGUUCAGGGCACGGUAAUCGAUGCAGAAACGCCACGUGCCGUCCGACUUGUGGACGAGGAGGACCGGCGCCGAAAACGGCGAUGUGGAAAUCCGGAUAAUGCCCAAAGCGAGCAUGAGUGCGUACUGCCGCUCCAGCUCGUCCUUCUGCAACUGGGGGUAGCGGUAGGGGCGCACCGCAACCGGCGCCGUUCCCGGCAGGGAUGAAUGCGGUGGUCAUACGCCCGGGCUGGCGGAAGGCCCUGAGGCUCGUCGAAGAGGUUGCGAUGCUGCUGCAAGAGAUGAUCCAACAGGGGGUGCUCAGGCCCUGUGUUAGUCGCUGCCAGCUGAAGCUGCGGCGACGUUGGGGAGGCGCCACCCACGCCCGCCCACUGGAUGCUGCGACCCAGGCGCCAGAAAGUCAUCGUCAUGGUGUCGAAGUCCCAGAGAAUGGGGCCGAGGGUCCGCAAGAAGUCGACGCCGAGGAUGAAGUCGAAGCAGCCCAGAUCAAUGCCGGCGCACGUGAUGGUGAAGUGCUCGUCGCCGAUGGUGACAGGCACGUCCCGGGCGAUCCCAUGGCACCGGAGGUGGUCACCGUUAGCCACGGUGACCCGGAGUUGCUCCCCGCCCGUCGGCUGCAGCGCUAAGCGGCGCAUCGUCGACUCGGGCAGGAAGUUAUGUGUGGAGCCCGUAUCCAGGAGGGCCACCAGGCGCUCGCCGUUGAUCAUCACCGGCAAGAGCAUAGUCCGCUCGUCUCGGAUGCCCGCGAGCGCGUGGAGGGAUACCACGAGAGCUGUCGCCGAAGCGGGCGCCGGGGCGGCGUCAACCGUAACUGGGCCGGGCAUGUCGCCGGGCCCGUCGGUGGCGGUGUCCUCCUCGACGUGGCCGACUCCAAGUAGAAGAGGCGCGGGCAUACAUGGCCUGGGACGUAUGGCUGGUUGCAGUUAUAGCAAAGCCCCUAGCGACGACGCUUGAGCUGCUCAGUCGGGGUGAGUCGGCGGAAGGCUCGUGGCGCGGCCGGAGCGGGGGCCGCCAUCGGUCCGGGGGCGGCCGCCCUAGGGAUGGUGCUGUCUGGGCCGGCCGGCCUGGCUUCCGUGCGUCGCGAGCCGGAGCCGCCUGCUGAAGGGCCUGCGUGCGGCGCUCGAAGGCUCGGGCGUAAUACAUGGCCGUCUGGAGGUCCUGUGGUCCGCGGAGCUCGAUGUCCACGCGGAUGUGAUCCGGCAGUCCGUCCACAAAGAGCUCGGCCCGCUGACGAGCCGACACGCCGGGCGCGUGACACGCCAGGGCCUGGAAGCGGUCCGUGAAGUCCUGCACCGUGGAGGUGAAGGGAAGGCGGCCGAGCUCCGCCAGUCGGCUCCCUUGGAUCGGGGCCCCGAAGCGCAGGAGGCAGAGCUCGCGGAAACGCUCCCAAGGGGGCAUGCCGCCCUCGUCAUGUUCCAUUGCGUAGUACCACGUCUGUGCGGCGCCUCGGAGGUGAUACGAAGCGAGCCAGGUCCGUUCACCUUGGUUGAGCCAGUUCAGGGGGUCCUCGGUGCCGUCGUAGGUGGCGAAGUCCAGUUUGGCGAAGCGCGGCGGCGUGUGGUUAGGGCCGCCCUGGUGGUAUGGCUCGUCGGGGCGGAGCAGUGGAGGGGUAUGCGCCGGGUACCCGUCGGGAACGGCGAAGCUGGAGGGCCCUCCGUACUGGGUGUGUGGCGGCGCCGAGGCCGUUGUGUAGACUGGUUGUGAUGAGUCGGUCACCCAGGCCGGUAGCGGCGACGGGUAGGGGGGGAACCGAAGCUGGUUGAGCGGCCAACCCCCGGCGCGGCGGUCGGGCCCGGCCCGGAGGUGGUGGGAGUCGGCUGCAACAACUGUAGGGUCGGCUGCUGUGGCCCCACAACCGAGGGUGGCGGAGGCCGCUGCAGUGGUGGCUGCAUCGGCCAGGCCAGCGCGGCGGUUGCCGCCAGCGGCGGCUGCGGCCAGGGUGGCCAGGACGGGCCGGCGUUGGCUGGUGGUGGCGCGUUCGGCCGCGGCCCGUAGGGCGCGGCCAGGUAUAGCCGGAUGCCCUGGACGGUGGUAGCCAGGUCACGGAUCGCGCCGGUCAGCUCUUUCGGGGUGAGGACGGCAGGAGGCGACGCGGCAGAGGAGGCCGGCGUUGGCAGGUGCGGGCCGCCGGCCGUGGUGAUCAUCAGAGUGGUGGUGGGGGACGACGACACAACGAUGGAGGCGGGCGGCUGUGAUGACAUGAUCGAACCAGAGUCUUGUGAUAUCAAACUGGUAGAAACUAGGGUUGUACCGGCCCUCUGCCUUAGGUUAUAAGGGUAGGAGGGAGGUUGGAGGAGACGAGGACGCCGCGGCCGCAGGGAGGAGGCGGCGACGAGUAGAGGAGGCGGUGGCUAGGGUUAGGGUUCCGGCUCCUCUGGGAGCCGGGCAAUAGAAUUGUCUUAUUGCUUGAUUCCAAAAGGUGUCUUACAACUUGUUUAUAUAAGCUUUAAGGUAAUAGAACUAAGGAAACUUGGGCUAAGCCCCUAACUUAACUAAGAUAACUUGGGCUAAGCCCUUAACUAAACGGGCCCAUUGGACCUCCUCCGGCUAUAAGUCACGCCGGUCAUAACAUAUGUCAACACCUACAAUUAUUAGUCCAGGACCUACAUACCAUCUAAGAACUAAGAAAAUGCAACAUGUUUAAUUGACUCUUUUUUCUGUGGGUAGCAAGUUCAG